This 630-nucleotide ribosomal RNA is filed under the name uncultured soil bacterium. Its description in RNAcentral is "bacterial SSU rRNA". It matches the Rfam family "Bacterial small subunit ribosomal RNA", at positions 34 to 643 of the family's 1533-position model. The record is from RNAcentral.
CGCUGGCGGCGUGCCUAACACAUGCAAGUCNAACGCGAAAGGGGAGCAAUCCCUGAGUAGAGUGGCAAACGGGUGAGUAACACGUGGGCGACCUGCCUUCGAGUGGGGGAUAACGUCCCGAAAGGGACGCUAAUACCGCAUGACAUCCUGCUCUUGGACGAGCGGAGAUCAAAGCUGGGGAUCGCAAGACCUGGCGCUUGAAGAGGGGCCCGCGCCUGAUUAGCUAGUUGGUGAGGUAACGGCUCACCAAGGCGACGAUCAGUAUCCGGCCUGAGAGGGCGGACGGACACACUGGGACUGAGACACGGCCCAGACUCCUACGGGAGGCAGCAGUGGGGAAUUGUUCGCAAUGGGCGCAAGCCUGACGACGCAACGCCGCGUGGAGGAUGAAGAUCUUCGGGUCGUAAACUCCUGUCGAGCGGGAAGAACGUUUCGCGGAUGAAUAAGCCGCGGAAGUGACGGUACCGCUAAAGGAAGCCCCGGCUAACUCCGUGCCAGCAGCCGCGGUAAUACGGGGGGGGCAAGCGUUGUUCGGAAUUACUGGGCGUAAAGGGCUCGUAGGUGGCCAACUAAGUCAGACGUGAAAUCCCCAGGCUUAACCUGGGAACUGCGUCUGAUACUGGAUGGCUU